Molecule: non-coding RNA, 46 nt
Organism: Patagioenas fasciata monilis
Lineage: Eukaryota; Metazoa; Chordata; Aves; Columbiformes; Columbidae
Source: Rfam
GAAGUGGCUUCACUGGAAGCCACUGAACAUAUCCUGAAAGUAAAAG